CAAUUUUUUCAUAUUUGUGUCAGACUGUUGUACCUGUUUUUCCCCCGUAGUCUUUCCUGUGUUUCUUUAUUUGGUAAUUUUCCUGUCCUCGUUUAGUCUGAU
Sinocyclocheilus rhinocerous is the source of this 102-nucleotide long non-coding RNA. RefSeq lists it as uncharacterized. The record is from RefSeq and is a predicted model, not a curated record. NCBI's taxonomy places the organism in Eukaryota, Metazoa, Chordata, Actinopteri, Cypriniformes, Cyprinidae. The transcript is spliced from 3 exons.